CACCCCUGCAGUGACAAUGCCAGAUCCUUAACUCCCUGCUCCACAAGAGAACUCCUCUAAUAAACACUUAAAAUUUAACUCGAGAUCCAAGACUAUCACACAAGAAACCAUUAGGGAACUGUGUGAACAAGACAUGAUCAGGUGUCCGUUUAUAGGAUACAGGCAAUUACUUCAAUGACAGUUCAGAGAAGAGAGAGAACACAGUAGGUGAAAAAUCUUUGACAAUAUAAUGGAGGAAGAGGGACUGAAGUUAGAGGGGAAAUUACGUGCAAGAUUUACAGAGUUCCCUAAUUGCCUCGUAAUUAAAAGAUCUAGCAUUGUCCCUGCUAUGGCACAGGUUCGAUCUCUUGCCCAAGAACUUCUACAUGCCACGGGCAUGCUCCUCACCCCCCAAAAAGAAAAAAGAUUGUGCAAGAUAUAGAUUCGAGAGAGAAGUGGAUCAGGUGUACUAGGCUGCUAGGGACAUCGCAAGCAAAGGCAGAGGGGCCAUGCUUCAGAUGGAGAUGAAAGACACACCUGGAGUUCCCAUCGUGGCUCAGUGAAAACGAAUCUGACUAGCAUCAAUGAAGGUGCAGAUUCGAUCCCUGGUCCUACUCAGUGGGUUAAGGAUCCAUCAUUGCCAUGAUCUGUAGGUUGCAGACGCAGCUCAGAUCUGGUUUUGCUGUGGCCGUGGGUAGGCCGGUAGCUGCAGCUCUGAUUUGACCCCUAGCCUGGGAACCUCCAUAUGCCAAGGGUGAGGCCCUAAAAAAAGACCAAAAAAAAGACAUGCCCUGAUUGGAGGGGAGCUGACCGGAAAGUCUGAGUAGGGAAGUCAUAGGAAUUAAGGCUGAAUAGGGAAGCUGGGGCCAAAUCACAGAUCUUUGGGGCCAAACAGAGAAACAAGACCCUAUGUUUUGUUGCAUAAAGCGUGUGGGCAGAGUUGGUUCCUUCUGAGGGCUGUGAGGGAGCAUCUGGCCUGUGCCUCCCCCACCGUAUGGUGGCCUCAGGCACUCCUUGGCUUUAGGUGGUUUUCUCCCUGUGUUGUCAUGUCCUCGUCUUUCUCUGUGUCCAGAUUUCCUUUUUGUAUAAGGACACCAGUCAUGUUGCAUUAGGGCCCUCGCUCAGGACCUCAUUUUCACUUGAUCACCUCUGUGAAAACCUAUUUCCAAAUAAGGUCACAGUCCGAGGUACUGCAGGACUUCUUAUCUUUUUGGGACACAAUUCAACCCAGUACAGGAGCCUUUAAAGAGUCUUUAGGGGAGUUCCCGUUGUGGCUCAGGGGUUACGAACCCUGGUAUCCAUAAGUUCAAUCCCUGGCCUUGCUCAGUGGGUUAAGGAUCUAGCCUCACAGCUGGGUGAGAUCCUUAACCUACUGAGCGAAGCCAGGGAUUGAACCUGAGUCCUCAUGGAUACUAGCCAGGUUCAUUACCACAGAGCCACAAUGGGAACUCCUGCUGCAUAAGUUUUGGCAAUGCCUUCAGUGGUAUAACCAUUACUACUAUCAAGACUUGGAACAGUUGCAUCUUCUCCCAGCAGUCCUUCCUGCUGAAGCACUUUCUGGGAGGAAGCCGGGAUUUAUGCAAAGUCAGACAGGAGGGAAGUUGGAGUUCCUGUCUCGGCUCAGUGGUUAACAAACCCUACUAGGAUCCAUGAGGAUGCGGGUUCAAUCCCUGACCUCGCCCAGUGGAUUAAGGAUCUGGCGUUGCCGUGAUCUGUGGUGUGGGUCACAGAUGUGAAUCAGAUCCCACAUUGCUGUGGCUGUGGUGUAGGCCAGCGGCUAUAUCUCUGAUUGAAUCCCUAGCCUGGGAACCUCCAUAUGCCGUGGGUGUGGCCCUAAAAAGACAUAAAAUGAAAUAAAAUAGGUAAGUUAUAUUAAAGGAGAAAAAUGAUGGCUUUGAAGCCGAAGGAAGGGUUAACUGAGGGACAGUGGUAAGGAGGCAGAUGGGGGUCUCUGAAAGGGUUAAUUAUUGUGAAAAGGAUUCUCUCCCUCCUUCCUGUGAAAUGGAAAGAAGAAUGCCUAUUUUCAGGGUCUGCAAUGUAUAUUUGGGGGAUGGAUUCCUAAAGUCCUGCCAGCAAAGCCAUUUCCUGCCGAGCAAGAUGUUAAAAGUCAUUUUCCAUCACUUCCACCUUGGAGGUAUUCUUUCCUAUUGCAAGUCCUGUCUGUGGGAAUUAAAUCAACGUGCAGGGCAGGCGCGGGGCUGGUCUUCUUUGGGCUGUGAGCCCACAUUCUGCUGCCAUGGAAUACUGUAGCAAUUUUAGAACUAACAACUUCACCAUUCUCCAAUGAGAAGUGCCUCUGUAUCUUUUCCUGUAUCAUACAGUGGAAGAACUUGGCAGCAACACAGGCUUCCGUCCCCACGAAUGUAUGUGACAGCCAGGAGAAUGAGUCACGGCUACAGGGCCAGCUUCCACACACAUCCUCAGGGUGUCAUUUGGCAAAAGAGAGUCAUGUCGCCCAUCAUGUUAUACUUUUGACUUAAAGUCACCCUGCCGUGAAGUUCCCACCUGUGGCCUCUGACAUCAUUGUCAUCUCUCUGCAUCAUUGUCAUCUCUCUGCACCUUUGCGUGUCACGUGAUUCGGGUGAGGGAGGCAGGAGGGUGUUGAACAACAGUCUUCAAACUCUGGGUUUCACAAGCAGCUUGUGAAUCAGGUUGUGGGUUGCAAGCAGCUUGUUUUAAAAUGAAAUAGAAGACAGCAGGGAGCUGUGUAGAAUCACACAGCUUUUGGUUCAAUGAGAUAUACGCACACGUCUAUACUGGACGGCAACAUAAAAUGUGUUUCUUCUGGGGAUCACGGUUACAAACGUGUGGGAAGUGGCCCUCCACAGGCUACUGAAUGUCCUUGUGGCUUAACUGGAGCCAUAAUCUACAAAAUGGGGAUAGUAGCAGUUAUCUGUUUCAUCUGGUUGUUGAAAGGAUUAAAAAGAAAAUGUAUGAACAGUGUUAUGGAUUAUGUCUCAUUAAUAAGCAAUGCUUAUUAUGAUCAUUUCUUUUUCUGCAGAGAUCUACAGCCCAAAUUUUGUUUCCUACCCAGACCUUUCCUCUAAGGCUUGAGCUUCGACCCCACCUCCACGUGGUUGUUCCAGCUCAGCGUGUCCAAACUUAAACUCAGCUCCUCAGCACCUUCUUUCUCCAGUCCACCACCUCUCACUGCCCACCCUUCUCCCUAGACACACAGACCCCUCUGCCGCUCCUCCAGCAUCCAUUUCUGUGAGAGAUGCCAUCAGUCCCCUGCCACUUAGGCUGUCUGAGCAUCAUCGAAUGCUACUUUGUCUAGAAAGUGAAUUCUUCUAAGAAGAGAAUUCUGAGCCUGGGUCACCAUCACCACUCACUAGAUUUGUGAGAUUUUGCCCGCAGCCUUGCCCUAUUAACCACACCUUGCAGCCUUUCCUGUUUGUAAGUGUUCAAUGUGCUCCCACAGGUCCCAGGUUAAAUUUUACACUCCUUGGGAGUUCCCUUCAUGGCUCACUGGUAACAAACCCAACUAGUAUCCAUGAGGACGCAGGUUUGAUCCCUAACCUUGCUCAGUGGGUUAAGGAUCCAGCGUUGCUGUGAGCUGUGGUGUAGGUAGCAGACACGGCUCAGAUCUGGGUAUUGCUGUGGCUGUGGUGGAGACUGGCAGCUGCAGCUCUGAUUCGACCCCUAGCCUGGGAACCUCCACAUGCUGCAGUUGUGGCCCUAAAAAGACAAAAAGACUUCUGCGUAAAACCUUACAACAUCUAAAACAUGAUAUUGCUUGUUGUUUCUCAUAAGUGUCUGUGGAAAUGACCUGCACUGGAAGUCAGCUAAAUCUGCCUCUCCUUUCUGCUUGCUCUUUAACUUUUAGGGUUGAAGUAGGCGAGAUUCGAGCUUAACUCUUGCCCUUUGAUUCUUAAAUAUAAUUCAUUUAACUUCACUGGUACCAUGUUAUAACCACACUGCACUGGAUACUCAAUAAGCAUGUUUGAUGAAUUAAUGAUUAACUAGUCAUUUAGUCUCUUUUAUUCAUUUUUAGAAGACUAAUGUUUAUUUUAUUUUAAUUGAUUUUUUAUUUUUAACUGUGUUUUGGUUUUUAUUUUAUAUUAGAGUAUAGUUGAGUUACAGUGUUGUGUUAGUUUCAGGUGUACAGCUAAGUGAUCCAGUUAUACAUAUAUACAUAUCCAUUCUCUUUCAGAUUCUUUUCCCAUAUAGGUUAUUACAGAAUAUUGAUUAGAGUUCCCUGUGCUAUACAGUAGGACCUUAUUGAUUAUCUAGUUUCCUUUAGAACGAAUAUUCCUUCCACUCUGGUGUUUGUAGUUCUUAGUGACUUAGGAGUGUACAGAUAAAACAAAGUAAUAGAGUUUUCUGGUGGUGCAGCAGGUUAAGGAUCUGCUGUUGUCACUGCUGUGGUUCAGGUCGCUGCUGUGGCUUGGGUUUGAUCCCUGGCCUGGGAACUCCUGCAUGCCAUGGGCAUGACCAAGAAAAUAAAACGAAACAAAC
RNAcentral lists this long non-coding RNA (4437 nucleotides) under Sus scrofa (pig). RNAcentral describes it as "lncRNA (ENSSSCG00055010292.1)". Lineage: Eukaryota; Metazoa; Chordata; Mammalia; Artiodactyla; Suidae. The record is from RNAcentral.